RNAcentral lists this ribosomal RNA (253 nucleotides) under uncultured bacterium. RNAcentral's name for it is "partial 16S ribosomal RNA". It matches the Rfam family "Bacterial small subunit ribosomal RNA", at positions 524 to 776 of the family's 1533-position model. The record is from RNAcentral.
UACGAAGGGGGCUAGCGUUGCUCGGAAUCACUGGGCGUAAAGGGUGCGUAGGCGGGUCUUUAAGUCAGGGGUGAAAUCCUGGAGCUCAACUCCAGAACUGCCUUUGAUACUGAAGAUCUUGAGUUCGGGAGAGGUGAGUGGAACUGCGAGUGUAGAGGUGAAAUUCGUAGAUAUUCGCAAGAACACCAGUGGCGAAGGCGGCUCACUGGCCCGAUACUGACGCUGAUGCACGAAAGCCAGGGGAGCAAACGGG